Capra hircus (goat) is the source of this 1538-nucleotide long non-coding RNA. RefSeq lists it as uncharacterized. NCBI's taxonomy places the organism in Eukaryota, Metazoa, Chordata, Mammalia, Artiodactyla, Bovidae. The record is from RefSeq and is a predicted model, not a curated record. The transcript has 3 exons.
CUCAGAGUGUUAACCACUGGGUCACCAGGGAAGUCCCAGUUCUGGAGGGCAGAUGUUUGAAAUGAGUCUUGAGGGAGGAAAACCAAGGUGUCAAGUGUCGGGGGGAGGCUCCAGAAAGAAUAUGGCAAAGCAUCUCCUUUGGAAAAGCCGGCACAGCUGGAAAUCCACCUGUGGGUGAAGAAACUGAAGUUUAUAUGUAUUGUAUUGCUGUAUUUUUUUAAGAUAUAUAUUUAUCUUUAAUUGAAAUACAUUUGAUGCACAGUAUCAAACUGUACACAGUUUCAGGUGUACUACAUAAUAUUUGAUAUUGGCAUUCUUUAUGAAAUGAUCAUCAUAAUAGUAAUCAUCUGUAAUCAUCUGUCCCAAUACAAAGUUAUUACAAUAUUAUUGACCAUAAUCUUCCUUAUGCUGUAUGUUACAUUCUUGUCGCUUACUUGUUAUACAACUGAAGGCUUGUACCUUUUUUAAAAAACAUUUUAUUUUAUAUUGGAGUGUAGUUGAUUAACAAUGCUAUGUUAGCUUCAGGUGUACAGCAAGGUAGUUCAGUUCUACAUAAACACGUAUCUAUUUUUUUUUCAAAUUCUUUCCCAUUAAGGUUGUUACAUAAUAUUGAGCAGAGUUCCCUGUGCUGUACAGAGGGUCUUUGUUGGCUGUCCAUUUUAAAUAUAAAUGCUGGGUAUUUUUGUUUGAGCCUACUGCCUUUGUUCCUUUGUAUGGAAACUUUCUCACAGUUCCUACAAGCUCAGCUGGCAUUGCUGGUGAUAUGAAACUUGUCAAGAAACAUUGAUCUCUGGGGGAAAAAGGAAAAAUUAACCAGUGAUUCUGCACUGACUGGGCACCCCACCCAACCAGAUUCACCAGGAGGGCUUUUUCCUCUGCCAUCACACCUAACGGCAGUGGUUCUCAAGGUGUGGUGUCUGGAGCAUAAGAUAAGAUCACCUGGAACUUACUACAAUUGCAAAUCAUUGCACCUCACCCCCUAUCAUAUCCAAAGUCUGAGGUUGGGGCCCAGCAAUCUGUAUCAAUAGCCCCUGAUGAUGUCAGCUCCAGGGUUAGAACCAAUUCCUUAAGUCAAUGCCAGACUUCUGUGGGAUGAAUGGGGCGGAUGGGCAGGAGAAAAGGGCAAGGUUUGCUUCCCAAGUUGAGAAUGACCAUGGACAUGAUUACAUCUAAGGGUUUUCUUCUUGGGUGCUUUGGAAUGGAGAGCUCUGGUCUAGACUAUGACUUCAAGGAUAUAGGAUAUGCAGUUGUCAUAGGAGAAGCAAUCAGCAAAGGAUAAAAUCAUAUGGACGAUACUAUGGAGAGAAUUCAGAAGGAUUCAAGACUGUGUGGUUUUGGGUGACAGCAAAGAGAAUAAUUUCAAUCCACGUGACAGGGAAACAUGGACUAUAUAGGAAAAAAUCUUGCAUCCCAGUAAACCUAGAGACCUGAAAGAAAAAUUCAAAAAAGAGCAAGGAAAGGAAGAUGGAGUCCCAGCAGCAAAAUCAUUACAAGAGAACCUGAGGGGCUUCCCCGUGGUCCAGUAGUUAAGACUCCAA